UAUAGCUCAAUUCUUUUGAGAGAUUGUUUUCCUUAUAAAUUUAUUGUUGUCUUCUUAUUAUCUGUGAGAUUUCAUUGCUUUCAUAAGAUGAAGGGUAAGACAAAUUUGUUUUAUCUAGCAAAGCUCUUAUACUGACUUCUUCAUUCUUUAUUCUUUACCAUGAAAUUUUGAUCGUGUCUAUGAUUGCAGAAAUAAGUUUGCUUGUGAUUUGGGAUUAUUUGGACUGUUGCAUUCCGUCACAGGAAAUUGUUGUUUUGGAAGAAGGAGCACUUAUUUCUUCAAGUUGACAACUUGUUCAAGUGAAGAAGUUUGUAGAAAAAGAUUUUGGACGAAACGGGAAUUGAAUUUGGAAAGGCGUAAAGAGCAUACAAGGUAUGUAAAGCUAUCCCGAUUCUUCUUUUGGCAUGCCCUAGGUGUACUAGGAUCGGAUUUGAGCCUCGAAAAGCGUUCUGCUCAUCGGAAUCCGUAUUUGAAAAUACCCCUUUUUCAUUCAAUGGAAUUGAACCCUAUAAGUAUGCUUUAUUGAAAGAAUUGUGCAAACUUCCGCAAAUUGUUUAGAAAAUUAUGGAAUGCCCCUAGAACCUCCGUAGGUGACUUUAUAAGCUUUAAAUACGUAAUUUGAGCCCAUCGCUUCGUUUGUCCCGAGGUGGGUCCACUAUUUCCGAUUUUACCCUUUUAGUGGUUAUGACUUGUCUUCGAGCGUUUUUUUUAAGAAAUGUUUUAACUACUCUUGUAACUACUAAAUAAAACUUGUUUUAAAUAUUCUAUUAAGUCUUGUAAACUGUUUUGGAACUUGGAAACGAACUUAGAAAGAUUAUGCUUCCGUAAUCCAUUAUGACAUUCGAAAUUCACUUAUUAUGAUUCCGUCCGAUUUUAUUGAUUUGAUUCGUCAUUUGAUAUGCCUCAUUAAGUCUCUGGAAAUAUAUAAGGUAUUUUAUUGCAUUUAGUUUCUCACUACUCCAUUCGUGGAUGCCUCAACGUUUCCCACACUCAGCCCGGGCCAGGAUAUGUUCUCAAGCGUCUUCCACUGCAUUGUUCGUCGUGCCUCGAUGUGAGGGGGCAGGUAUACAUGUACAUGGGUUGUGGAGUAUGCUGUGCCAUGUACACUAUUCUGAUAUGAUAUGAUAUGAUCUGAUAUGGCCAUCUGAUAUGAUAUGCUAUGUUACGGGGUUAUUCCUCUUUUCUGAUCCUUAUGUGUUGUGGCACCAGUGUCGGGGGGUGACCACGUUCUGUCUACCGAGUCCCCUGGAAGGGGCCGGAUAUGAUAUGGCAUAUGUUUCUGUACACACUCUUCAUGUUUUGAAAAUAUGCAUUUGAUACUCUGGACAUCUCACUCACAUUACUGUACGUUCUGUUCCGGUUAUGAUUUUGUUUCGUAAUGGGACUAGGUAUGACAUACGUUUCCUGUAAGUACUAUUUAUGCUUUAUGAUCAGCAUUUUGCUAAUCUGGAUAUUCCGUUCAUUUUCUGUAUCUCCUGUUCCGAUUAUGACUUUGUUUACUACGUUCCAUGCUUUACAUACUCAGUACAUAUUUCGUACUGACCCCCUUUCUUCGAGGGCUGCGUUUUCAUGCCGCGCAGGUACAGACUACAGAUUUGCUGACCCACCUGCCUAGGACACCUAUUCUGCUAUUCUGGAGCGCUCUUUUGUCCAGAGCCUAUACUCUGGUACAGUCUGCUGCUGUUGUAUAUAUGUAUGCUAUUCAGGGGUACGACGGGGCCCUGUCCCGUCUUAUGAUUCUGUUAUGUUCUGUAGAGGUCUGUAGACAUACAUGUGGGUUCUGUAUAUGUUUUGGGUUGCUAUGAUUUGUGAUAGCCUUAUCGGCUUCCAUGUGCUAUAUAUGUUCCUCUGUGACACUAGUAACGUCGACUGACUUUUAUAUUUAUAUAAUCUGCUAGUCUGCUGGUUUAGGUUAUUGGGUACGUUUGGGUGUCCAGCACGGACACUAGUCACGGCCUACGGGGUUGGGUCGUGACAAAAGUGGUAUCAGAGCGGUUUGUCCUCGGAAUGUCUACAGACCGUGUCUAGUAGAGUCUUGUUUAUCGGUGUGUUGUGCACCACAUCUAUAAACAGGAGGCUACAGGACAUCUAGGGUGUUACCUUUCUUUGAAUCUUAGAUCGUGCGAUAGAGCCCGCUGUAGGAAAUGAAUUCCUUUUUUUUCUAACCUCUGAUUUCAGCUGGAGAACGGUAUCGACGUAAGACAGCGACUGAUGAUAUUGGAAGCUACACAGUACACAGGUAAGUAAUGGUAUGAAAGAUGUAUGCUGGGUAAGGUGUUUGAAAUACGAUUGAAACACGAAGCUGAAGAUUGAAAAGAAAAAAAAUAAACAGGAAAGUGUAGUAGGUGCAGUUUGAGUUGGGCAUGUGAGGUAAGCCUUGGCAUCUUUAUACUUUUAUUUGAAAUUGUUAGCCUCGUGUGGCUAUGAUGCGAUAUGAUAUGAUACGUAUAUACGUAUAUGUGUUGGCCCUGUGAGGCAUGGUUGGUAUUUCCUGUGUACAGGUUUUGGGAUAGUAAGAAAUACAGAGGAACCUCUGCCCAAAUUUUUCUAGGAAUAUAAACAGGAAAAUGAGAUAUAAAUUCUUAACAUAUCUUGAGGGUCGAUACCGAUAGGGCAAACCCAUUAUGUUGGAUUAAAGUUUAAGAGAUACCCUCCAUAGCAUUCGUAAGAAGCAUUAUCUUUGUUUGGAAAAUUUUAUCUCGAGAAAGCAUAUACGAGUAGCAAAUUCGCAAUUUAUUCAAAUGGACCAGAAAUAUGUUCCAACCCCAUUUUGCUUUAGCACAGCCCAUGUGAAGGGCAAAAAUAUGUGGAAGGGCAAAAAUGUCCAACGAUUAAGUUUCCUCUAAUUGGAAGGAUACAAAGUGUAUGACAGGCAGUUGGGAAUUGAGUGGUUCGCUCACGACUCAAAAAUAUAUAUAUAUAUAUAUAUAUAUAUAUAUAUAUAUAUAUAUAUAUAUAUAUAAAUAUGGAGGUAAUUAUGUGAAUUAAGUACUAAAAGAUUCUGCGAAGUUCGUCGGACUCUAGUUUUCUUUUGCUGGUGGUCGGAAGAUGCCUUACAGAAACAUUCCAUCAGUUUUCAUCGACAGAUUGGAGAUGGAAUUUGUGGAAUAAAAACUUAAACUCGUGGGCGGUCUAGAAUUUUAUAUAUAUAUACAUGAAGGUAAAUAUUGAGGAUUUACAGGGGGCGACAUGGUAACUAUAUAGUCAGAAAAGUAAAAGAAUCCCCUCUAAGUCGGGGUGGGACCCGCUACGAGGGUGUUUUGAAAGUUGUUAAGACCCCGAUUUGCCUUAAAUUACGUGACAAAGGACGUGCGGGGCAGUUGGUGUAAUUAUACCGGCCCUAACGUGCCUAAAUGCAUUAAAGUUGUAAGGUUAAGCGUGCUAGGGCCAGAGCAAUUCUGGGAUGGGUGACCCCCUGGGAAGUAAACUAAAAUUUUCACAAGUAUAGGAAUAAGGAACGAAUGGGAAAUUUGAGGUAACUUAAAGGAAAUUAGGAUAUGCGGAGUUAUUAGAAACCCUCAAGAAGUCGGGUAGACUAAGACAAGAUAAGCUGGUGAGGAAGAAGAUAGCGCAAUGCAGCUUGGGAAUGAGAGUAAGUUUGAAUAAGCAUUUGGAAAUUGUUUUGUAAGCAAAAUGGUAGUAAAUGUGUAUGUGUGCAUAUGACACCCCAUUCAUGAUUGUACCGACCGACAUGUGGACCUCAGCAGCCAGUGUCGCGAGGUAUGAAAGAUAUUAACUGAACAGAAUUUGAGAGACAAAGCGAAAGACAUGGUACAGAUAUUACAAGUAAACUGACACUAGUUCCGUCGCCAGCUAAGGCCGGGACGUUCUAGCGCAACGAUGUUCGGAAAUAGAAAGAAAACGAAUACGUAAAAGGAGGAUAGUAAUAGUAACGUUUGGGAAAUUUUGAAGGAAAGAAAGAGACCUCUCCGACGUAUUAUAAUACCCCAUAAGGCUAGUUGAACAUUCGAGGACGAAUGUUCUAAAGGGGGGAGGAUGUUACAUCCCGUAUUUUUGAACGUCGGAUUAAUUGUAAGUUAAGGUGGGGCCCACACAUCAAGAUUUUUUUUUGGGACAUGUGACAAAUUAUAUGAAUCACAUAUGUGAAGUUAAACACAACUCAUGAAGUACCCUUGGUCCAAAUCAAAGUGGAAGCCCUCCAAACGAAUAUUUUUAUGAAAACGUUUUCGGAUGACCUGACUUGGAGGGGCAAAAACGGUAUUAUAAGUUUGGAAUUUGGAAAUAUACCAAGAAAUAGAAGUUGUAGAUAAUUGAAUUAGCUUUCCAUCCAUAGGUCGUGGGUUCCAAGGUGACGUUGGUACAAGGAGAUAUGAACGUUUUAAGGUCGAAAGGUCAGUGGGCUAGGCCCAACUCGGGACCAACCGAAUUGGCCCAAAAAAAUGAAAAGAAAAAUUCAGGCCCAAGUGAGGAGGUGGCCGGCCAUGGUCCUUAAUAAAGGACCCAAGCCCAUUUAAAUUAGUCAUGUGAUUAAUAAUAAAAAGGGGCUAAGUCUUCAUUUUCAACCAAGCACAUUCAUGAAGCAAAGAAGAGAAAAACAAACACAAAGAAGAGCAAAAAUAAGGCCAUUUCGGGUUUGGCCAUAGAAAAAUCACCCCUCAAAAUCUUGCCUCUAAAAUUAUUUUCUUGUUGAAUUCCUACUAAAUUAAGUGUCCUCUACAACUUGGUGUAGUUGUUUUGGAAGAAGGAGCACUUAUUUCUUCAAGUUGACAACUUGUUCAAGUGAAGAAGUUUGUAGAAAAAGGUAAGAAUCAAUUCCUUUUUCUUAUGUUAUGAAGGUUUGUUUAUGUUGUGGUAUGUGGAAAUGAGUAGAAAUUAUGAAAAUAUGGAAGUUUGCAAAGUGGGUAUGUAUAUAUGUAUGUAGCCGUGUGUGUAUAUUGUUGUAUAUAUGAUAUGAGUUGAAUUUUAUGUUGUAUUCUAGUUGUGGUUAUGGUGAAAAUUAUAUUGGAAAUGAAAGUUGAAUGAAUUUUGGUUGAAGUUGGAAUGUAGAAGAUUAUGUCACCUUAGAAUAAUUUUGAGAUAUUAUGGAAAUGAAGUUGUUAAGAUGUAAAUUAUGAUAAUGGUUGAUGAAAUUGGAAGGUGGAAAUAUGUUAUGAAUAUGUAGGUUGAAGAUUUGAAGUUUUGGGUGAAUUAUGUUUUGGUGGAAAGUUUGUAUAUUUUGUAUAUCUUGUGAAUAUUUCGUAGGAAUGAUAUGAAAUAUUUCCAAAUUAUAUUGUGAUGAUCUAGAUUAAUGAUGAAUGUGAAACCAUUGAGAUUAGUUUGGAAAUUGAAGUUGAAAUGAAGGUUAUGACAUUAUGUUGGAAAGAUAGCUAGUUAAGUUAUAUUGUGUUUAUGGUGACUAUUGUUGUUGUUGAUGUUGUUGUUGGGUUGUUGUUGAUUGUUUUGGCCGAGUUAAAUUCUCGGGGAUGCUAUAUGUAUAGGGGAGAUGCUGCCCAAAUUUCUGUAGGCAAUUAUGAAUAAAGAUUGAAUACUUAAAGAUUGGAAAUUGAGAAUUGGUAAAUGUGACCAAUUACAGAUUUUGGGCGAAACGGGAAUUGAAUUUGGAAAGGCGUAAAGAGCAUACAAGGUAUGUAAAGCUAUCCCGAUUCUUCUUUUGGCAUGCCCUAGGUGUACUAGGAUCGGAUUUGAGCCUCGAAAAGCGUUCUGCUCAUCGGAAUCCGCAUUUGAAAAUACCCCUUUUUCAUUCAAUGGAAUUGAACCCUAUAAGUAUGCUUUAUUGAAAGAAUUGUGCAAACUUCCGCAAAUUGUUUAGAAAAUUAUGGAAUGCCCCUAGAACCUCCGUAGGUGACUUUAUAAGCUUUAAAUACGUAAUUUGAGCCCAUCGCUUCGUUUGUCCCGAGGUGGGUCCACUAUUUCCGAUUUUACCCUUUUAGUGGUUAUGACUUGUCUUCGAGCGUUUUUUUUAAGAAAUGUUUUAACUACUCUUGUAACUACUAAAUAAAACUUGUUUUAAAUAUUCUAUUAAGUCUUGUAAACUGUUUUGGAACUUGGAAACGAACUUAGAAAGAUUAUGCUUCCGUAAUCCAUUAUGACAUUCGAAAUUCACUUAUUAUGAUUCCGUCCGAUUUUAUUGAUUUGAUUCGUCAUUUGAUAUGCCUCAUUGAGUCUCUGGAAAUAUAUAAGGUAUUUUAUUGCAUUUAGUUUCUCACUACUCCAUUCGUGGAUGCCUCAACGUUUCCCACACUGAGCCCGGGCCAGGAUAUGUUCUCAAGCGUCUUCCACUGCAUUGUUCGCCGUGCCUCGAUGUGAGGGGGCAGGUAUACAUGUACAUGGGUUGUGGAGUAUGCUGUGCCAUGUACACUAUUCUGAUAUGAUAUGAUAUGAUCUGAUAUGGCCAUCUGAUAUGAUAUGCUAUGUUACGGGGUUAUUCCCCUUUUCUGAUCCUUAUGUGUUGUGGCACCAGUGUCGGGGGGUGACCACGUUCUGUCUACCGAGUCCCCUGGAAGGGGCCGGAUAUGAUAUGGCAUAUGUUUCUGUACACACUCUUCAUGUUUUGAAAAUAUGCAUUUGAUACUCUGGACAUCUCACUCACAUUUCUGUACGUUCUGUUCCGGUUAUGAUUUUGUUUCGUAAUGGGACUAGGUAUGACAUACGUUUCCUGUAAGUACUAUUUAUGCUUUAUGAUCAGCAUUUUGCUAAUCUGGAUAUUCCGUUCAUUUUCUGUAUCUCCUGUUCCGAUUAUGACUUUGUUUACUACGUUCCAUGCUUUACAUACUCAGUACAUAUUUCGUACUGACCCCCUUUCUUCGAGGGCUGUGUUUUCAUGCCGCGCAGGUACAGACUACAGAUUUGCUGACCCACCUGCCUAGGACACCUAUUCUGCUAUUCUGGAGCGCUCUUUUGUCCAGAGCCUAUACUCUGGUACAGUCUGCUGCUGUUGUAUAUAUGUACGCUAUUCAGGGGUACGACGGGGCCCUGUCCCGUCUUAUGAUUCUGUUAUGUUCUGUAGAGGUCUGUAGACAUACGUGUGGGUUCUGUAUAUGUUUUGGGUUGCUAUGAUUUGUGAUAGCCUUAUCGGCUUCCAUGUGCUAUAUAUGUUCCUCUGUGACACUAGUAACGUCGACUGACUUUUAUAUUUAUAUAAUCUGCUAGUCUACUGGUUUA
Lycium barbarum (goji berry) is the source of this 7122-nucleotide long non-coding RNA. RefSeq lists it as uncharacterized. The transcript is spliced from 4 exons. Lineage: Eukaryota; Viridiplantae; Streptophyta; Magnoliopsida; Solanales; Solanaceae. The record is from RefSeq and is a predicted model, not a curated record.